Molecule: long non-coding RNA, 1717 nt
Filed under: Homo sapiens (human)
Lineage: Eukaryota; Metazoa; Chordata; Mammalia; Primates; Hominidae
Description: HSALNT0099425
Source: RNAcentral
CUCCCCCUCUCCAUCUUUUUCUGUUUCUGUCCCCCUUUGUCUUUUUCUUCUCUCUCUCUAUCUGUCUUUCUCUGUCUCUCUUUUCUCUCUCUGUCUCUCUCUUCUCUCUCUCCCCAUUUCACUGUCUCUGUCUACCUAGUUGUCUCUGUCACUCUCUAUCUCUCUUUCCAUCUCUCUGUCUCUUUGUUCCUAUGUCUCUGUCUUUCUCUGUUCCUCUCUCUUUCUAUCUCUGUCUCUAUCCCUCUCUGUCUCUCUGCAUCUCUAUCUCUGUCUCUGUCCCUCUCUGUCUCUUUCUAUCUCUGUCUCUGUCCCUCUCUGUCUCUUUCUAUCUCUGUCUCUGUCUCUCUGUCUCUGUCUCUCUGUGUCCCUCUCUCUGUCUCUGCCUAUCUCUGGCUCUGGGUCUCUCUCUCUGUCUCUCUGUCUCUUUCUAUCUCUGUCUCUGUCUGUCUCUCUGUCUCUGCCUGUCUCUCUGGCUCUCUCUCUCUAGCUAGGGGAUGCCAGUGGACUGGACACCUGCUGUUCCCUCUCCCAGCCCAUGGCUGAGGGUGGACCUGCCCGUUCUCUUCUGCCCUCGUGGGGAGACGCCCAGCUACUCUUCUGGUCCGUGGCUCCUGUUUUUUGGCUGCUGCCUCCAGGGUACCUGGCUGCUUCUUUCUAGGCAUGGCAAGCAAGAAGGAACCCAUUUUGCACACAUCUGCGGGGCUUUCAGUCUCCUCCUCUGAUGUACUCAAUCGGCCUUGAGAGAGAAGGGUCCCUGCAGAAAAGAAGAGACUUUGCCUGCAGCAGCCGUGGGCCAUGGAUCCGCUGUCCCCUGAAGUCUGUAAGGUUUUGCUACCUUAGAGGAAGCUGAACUGCUCUUCCAUAGCUUCCAUCAAGCCCCCGGGAGCCUGGGGCUCUGCCGGGCCAAUUCUGGAAUGCUGGCAGGGAGAUGUGGGGCAGAACAACAAAAAAACAUUAGUUAUCUUUACAAGGCUCUUAAUGAUGGGGUAAGCAUGUUCAGGCUGCAAUCUAAUAUGUAAGGGUAAUUACACUGAGUUAUGCCCCACCUCCAUGGCACCCCUCACGUUAACUCUUUCCAGCCCUAGUGGGUAGCCAGUAAUGUUAGGGAGCCUCCAACCGGGACUUCCUGGGGAAGAGGACGGAAAAGCAGUCUUGAAAACACUUUUAUGAGUCAACGUGAGGCUCUGCUAUAUCUGAAGAGGUCACUCGACCCUGAUUUUAGGAGAAAACCACUCUUUUUCUUCCCAGAAUGGCACUUGAUGGCAAGCUGCCUCUGAGAGGACCUCACUUCAAGGGCUAGAUUGCAGUGUCAGGAAACAGGAGUUUUGUUGUGGUGCCUCCUGAAUUUCCUCUGGGAACUUGGAACAAAAGCAAACAAACAUAAAAGCCCCCAAAGGUCAGGAGACCUGUCAGGCCGUCAGUGCCGCCUCCUUCUGGGGGUCCAGAAAUGCAGCCAGGUUCACCACUGUUUUCUUGUCUGGGGGACACACGCUUGGAAGCACACUGUUUUCCUUCCUUCCUUUUAUCAAUGUGUGAUUUAACAGGAGCACCGCUCCCCUGACUUCCAGGAGCCCUCUGGUUGGACCACCCAGUUCACAGUCACUUUUGCCACAAAGAGCUGUUUAUUGGAAGAUCAUUAAAAAUCAUACUUUGGGAAUUCAUUGUCUCUUUGUGUGUUUUCCUUAAGAUAAUUUUGAUGUGUAAAGAAAUGCUUUUU